AGAGGACGGUCGGCCACACUGGAACUGAGACACGGUCCAGACACCUACGGGUGGCAGCAGUCGAGAAUCAUUCACAAUGGGGGAAACCCUGAUGGUGCGACGCCGCGUGGGGGAUGAAUGGCUUCGGUCAGUAAACCCCUGUCAUUAGUGAACAAACCUUUUAAAGUAAUAUUUUGAAAGCUGAUAGUAGCUAAAGAGGAAGGGACGGCUAACUCUGUGCCAGCAGCCGCGGUAAUACAGAGGUCCCAAGCGUUGUUCGGAUUCACUGGGCGUAAAGAGUGCGUAGGUGGCUAGGUAAGUUUGAUGUGAAAGCUCCGAGCUCAACUCGGAAAUUGCAUUGAAAACUGCUUGGCUAGAGGGUCGGAAGGGAGACUGGAAUUUUCGGUGUAGCAGUGAAAUGCGUAGAUAUCGAGAGGAACACCAGUGGCGAAGGCGAGUCUCUGGACGAAUCCUGACACUGAGGCACGAAAGCUAGGGUAGCAAACAGGAUUAGAUACCCUGGUAGUCCACGCCGUAAACGAUGUCUACUAGCCGUUGGGAUCCUUGAGAUCUUAGUGGCGCAGCUAACGCACUAAGUAGACCGCCUGGGGAGUACGGUCGCAAGAUUAAAACUCAAAUGAAUUGACGGGGGCCCGCACAAGCGGUGGAGCAUGUGGUUUAAUUCGAAGCAACGCGAAGAACCUUACCUACUCUUGACAUCUAGAGAACUUGGCAGAGAUGCCUUGGUGCCUUCGGGAACUCUAAGACAGGUGCUGCAUGGCUGUCGUCAGCUCGUGUCGUGAGAUGUUGGGUUAAGUCCCGCAACGAGCGCAACCCUUGUCCUUAGUUGCCAGCAUUUGGUUGGGCACUUUAAGGAGACUGCCGGUGACAAACCGGAGGAAGGUGGGGAUGACGUCAAGUCAUCAUGGCCUUUAUGUCCAGGGCUACACACGUGCUACAAUGGGCGGUACAAUACGCUGCAAACCCGCGAGGGGGAGCCAAUCGUAAAAAACCGCUCUCAGUUCGGAUUGCAGGCUGCAACUCGCCUGCAUGAAGCUGGAAUCGCUAGUAAUCGCAAAUCAGCACGUUGCGGUGAAUACGUUCCCGGGCCUUGUACACACCGCCCGUCACACCAUGGAAAUUAGUUAUGCUCAAAGUCAUUCCUUUAACCAUUUA
This 1155-nucleotide ribosomal RNA is filed under the name Astrosyne radiata. Its description in RNAcentral is "partial Bacterial small subunit ribosomal RNA". It matches the Rfam family "Bacterial small subunit ribosomal RNA", at positions 295 to 1444 of the family's 1533-position model. The record is from RNAcentral. Lineage: Eukaryota; Bacillariophyta; Fragilariophyceae; Cyclophorales; Cyclophoraceae.